RNAcentral lists this ribosomal RNA (429 nucleotides) under Bacteroidota bacterium. Its description in RNAcentral is "Bacteroidetes bacterium partial 16S ribosomal RNA". It matches the Rfam family "Bacterial small subunit ribosomal RNA", at positions 355 to 776 of the family's 1533-position model. Lineage: Bacteria; Pseudomonadati; Bacteroidota. The record is from RNAcentral.
UAGGGAAUCUUCCGCAAUGGACGCAAGUCUGACGGAGCAACGCCGCGUGAGUGAAGAAGGAUUUCGGUUCGUAAAACUCUGUCGUUAGAUAAGAACAGCGCAUAGAGUAACUGUUAUGCGUGUGACGGUAUCUAACCAGAAAGCCACGGCUAACUACGUGCCAGCAGCCGCGGUAAUACGUAGGUGGCAAGCGUUGUCCGGAUUUAUUGGGCGUAAAGAGCUUGUAGGCGGUUCGUCGCGUCUGGUGUGAAAGCCCAUCGCUUAACGGUGGGUUUGCGCCGGGUACGGGCGGGCUAGAGUGCAGUAGGGGAGACUGGAAUUCUCGGUGUAACGGUGGAAUGUGUAGAUAUCGGGAAGAACACCAAUGGCGAAGGCAGGUCUCUGGGCUGUUACUGACGCUGAGAAGCGAAAGCGUGGGGAGCGAACAGG